CCGCUGAGAGGUNACGGCCACAUUGGGACUGAGACACGGCCCAAACUCCUACGGAAGGCAGCAG
Molecule: ribosomal RNA, 64 nt
Filed under: uncultured bacterium
Lineage: Bacteria
Description: partial 16S ribosomal RNA
Source: RNAcentral